This 478-nucleotide ribosomal RNA is filed under the name uncultured soil bacterium. Its description in RNAcentral is "bacterial SSU rRNA". It matches the Rfam family "Bacterial small subunit ribosomal RNA", at positions 30 to 543 of the family's 1533-position model. The record is from RNAcentral.
AGAGCGAACGCUGGCGGCAGGCCUAACACAUGCAGGUCGAACGAUCCUUCGGGAUAGUGGCGGACGGGUGAGUAACACGUGGGAACGUGCCUUUUGGUUCGGAACAACUCAGGGAAACUUGAGCUAAUACCGAAUGUGCCCUUCGGGGGAAAGAUUUAUCGCCAUUAGAGCGGCCCGCGUCUGAUUAGCUAGUUGGUGAGGUAAAGGCUCACCAAGGCUACGAUCAGUAGCUGGUCUGAGAGGAUGAUCAGCCACAUUGGGACUGAGACACGGCCCAAACUCCUACGGGAGGCAGCAGUGGGAAUCUUGCGCAAGUGGCAAAGCCUGACGCAGCCAUGCCGCGUGAAUGAUGAGGUCUUAGGAUUGUAAAAUUCUUUACACCGGGGUACAUAAGUAGACGGUACCCGGAGAAGAAGCCCGGACUACUCGUGCCAGCGACGCCGACGUAACUCGUAGACGGCGGCGUCGGACCGAACGG